Molecule: long non-coding RNA, 7924 nt
Organism: Bombus terrestris (buff-tailed bumblebee)
Lineage: Eukaryota; Metazoa; Arthropoda; Insecta; Hymenoptera; Apidae
Exons: 3
Source: RefSeq, a predicted model, not a curated record
AUAGAUAGUAGCACUAUGUUUAACAAAAUAACAAUUUGGGGGCUCUGGCCAUCUGGCCAUAGAGUGGGAAAAGCGGACUGAACAGCAUCGUGUCGUGAGAGACGGCACCACGGCUCGGUAUAAGCGUUCCUAACAUAUAAUUAACUUUAAGAAGUAAGAAAUUUCAAAGGUUAUAAUAACUCGGUGAAUGAAUUGUUCUCUAUUCCAUAAUUUAUAUCAAGGCAAAUAACCGCUCGAUCUAAUUAUGCGAAAAAUUAAUGGAAUAGUGCGUAUCGCGAUACACGUACUCUGUACUUACAUACGGUUAAGUGGAACGUCUCGCGUAAGAGGAGCUCAGCGGUAAGUUCGGUAAAUCAAACGUCGGACAGGGAUUCGUUCCGAUUAAUCGAGUACAGAUAAACGAAAUCCCACUGCGUAUAUCAUGAUCUGGUGUUUGUUCGUUAUUAUUACUUGCAAAUACUACUCCAUACAUCAUUUUUCGUUUGAUCGCGAUGAAAAGGAGGAACGAGACCACGGGGAAAAAUGAAGAUCAGAAACGAACGAUCGCGCGUAUGCUUCUGAGAAUACCUAUGCGUUGUACGUCGCGCAGCAACGACAAUCGCGCAAUUUCUCCGAAACCAAGCGUACUAGAAAUUGGAAAAUAAAUCGAGGGAACGAUCUACGAACGAUCGCGUUCCUUCGAAACUACAUAGUAAAUGGAAUAGAGAAUCGAUCGAAAAAGACUCUCCUGCCGUUUAAUUAAAUAAUUAAUUAAUCGAUCUGUACGAAGUAAUUUUCUACAAUGUGCGAAAUCGAUCGUUUGCCUUUUCGUUCUGUAUUCACUUUCAAAUCAUCGUUCCUAUAUAAAUAAUACACGACUGCCGUCGCCGUAGAGAUAUUUUAGCCACAGAGAAUUUAUUACAGCGACCAGUCGGCGUUUUUACUUAUUUCGUUGUUCGCCAUGAUAUGAUGCGACGCGAUACAAGGGACGACCAUCGGACAAGCUAAAAAGACGAUCGAAACACGCUUUGCUUCGCACCUUCGAAGGACGCUUACAGGAGCGAACAAGAAUCAUGAAAAACACGAUAGGCAGCAAGGUUCCCAGACCUUGUGAUCGUUCGAUUUUGCAAGACUUUGCAUCGAAAGAUCGCCUAAUCUCAAAUUUAUGUAUGUACGUAUCUAUAAAGUUUUCAACAUUCUCCAACUGCUUACUUGCAACUCCUAACAUUCCAAAUUUCAUCCUGCAUUCUCUUCUUUCGCGUAAACGUAUUUCGAUUCGACGAUUUCGCUUCGAAGAAAUAGUUUCUUUCUAGGUAAAACGUGUCUUUUCGACGUCACGUUACGGCAAUCUGUCUUCACGAUUCGAGUAUUAACGCUGUCCUAAUUUAUUCUCCGCGUGUCCUAUUCGGCUCGUACCUGUUGCCCGGGCUCUGCUGUGUCUAUGCACUCCUGUGUUAACUCAGAACAGGUGGAUGCAGAGGUCAAACGUAACGUCGAAACUAGUCGUAAAUCAAGGUGAACCGAGGUGGUUCGCAGUAGGCGCAGAUAUAACGGUGACGACGGUCAAGUCACCGCGGUGCCAUGGCCUCCUUUCCACGCCAACGUUCGCCCCUCUUCCUCUUCCCCUUUUGCCUCCAUACGACUCGCGAUACCUCUUCUUCUUCCACUUGGCCAAUUCGUCUAACUGUACACCGUAUAUUCGUUCGUAUAAUCCGUUUCUUUCCGUACGUUGAAACGCGUGUACACGAUUAUAUUUGGCUCGUAGUCGCGCUCGCGUCGUUCGCAUUUGGAACAGCGAUCAGGUAUAACAACGAUAUGAAAAUUCGCGAAAUCGAAAUCGUAAUCGUUCUCAACGAAUUCGAAGUAGCUACUUAUCGAUACAAGAGACACGUUCGAAAAAGAAUAAAAGAACAGUAGCAUGCAGUCGUAAGAGAAACGCUUAUAGUUUGAUCAUCGGUCAACUUUAUUCUACGUUCUACGUAUAUUCACGUCGUCUUUGAUAAGUUAAUAAUUUAUACACGCGUAGUCCGUUUCAGCGGUUAUCUAAAGUAUCCAAGUAUCUAAAAUGACAGAAUUAGUUUAAAGAAGAAAGACACGCUUACGUAAUUAUAUACGAUAUUCGGUUCUGUUAAAUUAGAACAAGAGACGGCAAUUAACUCGAAACGAUGAAUACACGUAGACUAGCUAAAUGUUGUAUCUGUGGCUGUACAAACACGCAUUCUAACAAUAUCCAACUUUUACGUUGGAAUAUCUCAUGCGAGAGGAUAUUGCGGUACAUUGUCUUUGCACCGCUAAUUAACGUUGAUGAGAAGAAGGUGAUGCAUGAUCUAAAAUCUAAACAGAGUAAAAUCUGGUGCCAAGUGGCGUCGAGUGAAACGACUCCCGAAGCUAAGCAUAAAACUGCGUUCGUUGCGACUUUGCACGAUGAUCCAAUUAUCCAAGAGAAAUUGCAAGUGAUCCAUGAAAUUUUCUUGGUAACGCUGGUAUAGUAGCGAUACUCUCGUUGUAGAAUUUCCUUAUUCGAAUAAAAGAAGAAAAAAAAAAAAAAUCGAAACUGGAUUUCCAUACCAUGAAAUUGUACCGUGAAACGUUACACAACGAUGACUCACGAAGCUAUCGAAUACUGUAUCGACCGUCGUUCAAUGUCCAAGUAAUCGAAUAUGCAGAAGACACGAUCGUUUCAGGAAUACACGGACUAUUUAGUCGAAUAAGUAAUAACAGCUAUACGUUCGAAUGUUUCGAGAAAAAAAAAGCAGAAUGUCGGCGAAAGGCUGCGAUUCGAAUAUGUUAAGAUCGUAAGAAGCAACGUAUAACGUGACGAUAAUUUCGCCCAAGUUAUAUCGUGUCGCGUAAUCGUGUCAGUAUUACAAAGAAUAACACGUUUAAUAAUGACAAUUUUCAAGAAACCUAUGCACGAUGGAAAAUUUACAUAAGUAGCGUUUAUAUCUGCAUUUACGUCCUGAUUCCAGACAGCUGUUAACGCCGAGUUUGUUAAGAAGCAGGAAGACCACGUUUAUCUCGAUGGUGCAUCUAAGAUUUAGCGAUCGCUGUCACACGUUUUCCAACGCGCGAAAACAGUAUGUCCGAGACGUGGGAAAAAGCCAUGUACCUACCAAGUUAAUUCAAUCUCUAUGAGAAUUCGCUCUUUUGUUACAGCUACGUGCGUAUUCUACUCGUCUCUUUAUCUAUCCUAUGCAUCGAAGUCGUACGUAUACUCGCCUGCAACGCAUUCGUCGUUCGGCGUCUCCGUAAUUCUUUAUUUAGUUUCACUUUAAUGAACGUCCGUUAUAUGUCAUCGAUCGCGGCAUCUUAAGUAUAAGUCAACGAUUCAAAUUUCAUCGAGACGUGUAAGACCAAUGUCGGUAUAUGAAAAAAAAAAAAAAAAAAAAAAAAAAAAAAAAAAAAAGCUCGAUUUAUCAUCACCUCUAUUGUCAUUAUUUACAGAGAAAUUAUUUUCUGCGAUAAAUAAUCGAAAAAUUCGAAUUCUCUUCGUUUCGAUUGAUCUUCCUUGAAAUCUCGAAUGUAACGCAAGUUUUUUUAUACGGCAACGAUCCUAAAGUCGAUUCGUGUCGUACGAGUCCGCGUAUUCAAUUUUCUAAUAACACCUUUCCUAGUGAAACGAACGUUCCAUCGAAACACAGGUACAACUUACGACCGAAUAUCUACGACUUUCGCGUUAUCCAAUUAUGGGAUAGGUGUAUGCGACUCCUGACAUUUUAUAAUCAUAAUAAUUCAAUCGACUCGUUUUGGUGAUCCGGCCGAAUUUACAUUUACCAAUCGUACUUAUACGCGUCCCUGGUAACGGUCUUACGUAAUAAUCGAGCAGACAAAAUAUAAAAACAUACCGAUAGAACUAGUAGCACGCAGCUUUCGCUUUCUCUGGUUCAACAGACUAGUUUCUCUAUCAUUUUCUCCGAAAUGUUUACAUUUACAUUUACACGCAAACUAAAUACCUUUCGUCAAAAACGUUAUAAAUUACGACAAAAAAAAAAAGAAAAACGAAGAAAAUUACGAAACUGAACAACCAUUUUCAAGCGUAUGCCCAUUAUCAUGUUCCGUAUCCUUGUUUCUCGUUCUUCGACUUCAUCGAUACCUAAAGUUUCUAUUUUAUAAGUACAUGUGCGCGAUUCCAAUCAAAAAGGAAGAUCCAAGAUCUUUGAUAGAUGCACCUUGGUAUGCGUUACCAACGAAACAAUACAUCGCGACCUUAAGAUACCCACGGUUAAAGAAGAAAUAUCCAAGUUCAGAAACAGAUAUAAUAUAAGAGUUGACAUAAGAGUUACUAUAAGAGUUACUUGACACGACGGACCAGAUUCGCAGAUUAAAAAGACGAUACCCUUUAGAUCGAAGCAUUAGAUUCAAACAUACUCUAAACAUAUUAGAAUCAAACAUACUAUAAACUCUUAUAAUCCAAGUUACAGUACCACGCCAAAAGAAUUUACUUAUAAUUGAUCAAUGAGAAUUGAUUGUAAAUAGUCUACCAAAUAAAAGAAAAAAAAAGAAAAAGAAAAAGAAAGAAAAUCUCGCCUUUAAAAGGAUUCGGAUAACGAAUUGGGAGUGUCGCUCGUCGUCGAAUCGGAGGAAACGGUACAUGUCGCACGAAGGAAGUCAGCAACAAGAAGAACCGGUCGACUCUGUAUCUACGAUGUACAAUAAUCAUUUCGUAUCUGUCAUUUUUCCAAGGCCGAUACCUCUCCAUCCCUUUUCCACCUACUACAUUUUAUCAAUUUCCACAACAAUCGAGCAAAGUUCUUUCUUAAGAAACAACAAUAAAACACUCCCAUGCCCGAUGAUUUCGAGAUUGUGCGUGUCACACGAUUUAACCGAAAGAAUCACAAGUACACGCGAAUCCACUUAGAAGUUGACCACAGGAGACGUCUGAAACCAAUGGCAAAGUGGAUAGGCAGGUUUUCUAUCAGAGACUGUCGAUCGGAGAAAAACUUGUCGCGAUCAACGUUAACCCCUUGCACUUUUGUCCCCCUUUUGGUUUAACAUGUUAUAUCUUGACGCGAAUUAGACAUAUAUCGUGCAGCUUUUCUUCUACCUUUACCCCUUUGUACCGCCGAUCGAUCGUGCUUAUUUCCAACUUUUGUUUCCAACUAUAUUACUCGUUCAACAAAAGGACCAGAUAUUUCAACUACUCGGAACGUAAUAUGUACAUCUUAGAAGGUUCGUAACUAUGCCAGGUAACGGUAACGAAAGUAAAUCACACACGCACACACAUAUGCCGCUAUCACGAUCACGUACGAACAUUCUGUUACAGGUUGGCUGUUCCGAUGAAGAUCACAUCGAUAGAAAGUCAGAUCGGGAUUAUUAUCCUCUCGCUUCUUGUUACUCGCAGCAAUGUGAGGAACGGCGAAUAGAUGGAAUAGAUACAGGUGUACGCGGAAAAGCAGAUAGCCGCGAUGCGGAACAAGGUAAAUUACAGAAAUAUCGAUUAGGAUACAAUCGAAUAAAAUCACAAUUCUCGCGCACUUUCUACUAAUUGUACCGUCGAAUAGAAUGCUUCUAUGUAUUAUAGAUCUACGUAUGUCUCUAAUCGCGUAUUUACGAAAAAAUAGUAACCUAAAAAUUAUAAGCCAAUCAUCGUUGUAUGGAUAAAGGAAAUGUUAUUUAAUCGGAAAUUUAUGUAAGUGCCAAAGUUUCCACUUGAGCGUCUUUCGUUGUGUGCAGAUUGUUCUCAGAUUUACAGAGAUAAGAGAUUUCCGAUACGAGGUUUGCGAGUCGCUUUGGGGACUGAAUGAGUCUUGGAACUCGAGGGAAUUUGCGGUGCCUCCUAACUUUCCCAGAGUGAAAAAAAAAAAAAAAAAAGAAAAUCGAGUUCAAAGAUGGUUUAAGAAGAAAAAGAAUAAGAAACCACCGUCUACCAUUGAACGAUCAAACCACGCUGCUGUAUCUCGUCUAGAUUUUCAUGAUACACCAACAGCACGAUGAAAUAAUAUUUAUUAUGAUUGUCACGACAGGCGGAAGAAUAGAGUUUGCGGUUGAACGUAAUUACUCCGUGCGUAUCACGAUAAUAUUAAUUAGUAACUUUUUAUAGGCAUCACGAUGCGCGGAAUCAAAUGUUUACAGGGACUACAGGUCACAGACUACAGAGUACAGAGGGAAUUCUUUCGCAUUGCAUAAUUACGUUGCAAUUAGAGUAGGUACAACCGCGCGUUGGUGGAGACAGGAAAAGGAAACGUCAAACCAAAGAUACCUACGUAGCCCUAAAGGCUCUAUUUCGAAAGCGAUCAAACGUUUGGUACACCGCGCCAACUAUCGACGAUAGGAUAACGUCUAAUAUACGUAAAAUGAAUAAAAUAUAUAGUUUUGAGAAUAAAUUAUAUAUGAUAUAUGCAUGAUUCUUACAAUCAGUUAAAUGCGUUAUUAAACACAAGUAAUAAAAUUUAUUAAAUUAGAUAUUUCAAUGAAACAAUGCUUUUAUCCUACAACGUCUAUCACGUUGAACAGAGUUUAAGUACUUGGACGAUUGGACACAUUCCCAUAAGUAGUAUAUAUAUGUACUUACCAUAACUGUGUACGCUAGUGUAUGCUCAUGCGUGUGUUAUAUACGCCGGUGUGUCACCUAGUGUUACUGUCUGCUGUCGAACCCAAGCAUGUCUAUAAAAUAGCCGGUAACACUAAUCGGUCGUCGACGAAUUUGCUGCAAUCCAAAAUCACGAUUCUUGCUUGUUGGUUGUUACACAGUCGACACAGAUCACCAUAUGUAAACACACACACACGUUGUUUGCGACACGCGUGGGAUCGCGCAUGUAUCGAAGCGCGCACUCACAUCCACUGUAAUCGAGUUUGCACAGAAAAAGCCUUGUCUAACGUCUUCCUGACUUUCUGCUAAUUUAAGAAAACCCGAUGUUCAUCGCCAAUUUCAUCGACGGACGUUUUAACCAGCAUUCAAUAAAGAGUAAUUGUCAGCUCUAUAUGUUUCGCUGUAUUUCAUAUCUUCUUUUUUCCACUUUUCUCGCGCCGUUUUAAUAAAAAUGGGAAAAGUCACGUACGAAACGAGGAGAAGUCACGGAUUUUCAACCUGGCGGACACCGACUGAGCUCUCAACCGGGCAGGUAGGUAAGCCGUUGCCCCUCCACUCUAUUCACCACCACGAUCGCUCACCAUUCUCCAUUCUCUUUACCUUUGCUUCACUUCGCUUCGUCUUAUUCUUUCAUUUUCCUGCUCUCUACUUGCAUACAUCGAUAUACUUAUAUACGAAUAUUUAUAUAUAAAUAGAGUCUAUUGUCAUAUUAUAUCCCCGAAAUAUUUAAACAUCAAAUCUUAAUAUGUUGUAUUCGAUAUAUUCGUGUCAAUUAAGACUUGAUACACUCUUAAAUACGUGUAUGUAUGACGUUCUGAACAAAUCUUUUUAUUUUAGCACGAUAAAAUAAAAUAACAUGAACAUGUACAUAUACCUACAUACGUACACUAUGUAUGGAAAAUUUUAUCAUAUUACAUUUCGUAGAAAAUAAUUGUACCAACCAAUUAAUGGCAUAUAUAUGUAUAUAGGUGCACACGCACAAACGUGCGCGCACACAAAUGAUAUAUUUGUGGAACAGGUAAACAUAAUAAUAAACAAUAAUAUAAUGCUUAAUUUAUAGUUAGGAGUAAUUUUAUUUGCGGUACAUCAAAUAAUUAACUCGUACUAAUAAUUGCUGUUUCAUCUUGUUCUUGCUCUUUUGUUUCUUCUUCGUUACUUGUUGCAAGGUAAUCUUGAUGGUUAAUUUUAAAAGAUUCUUUAGACAAUUCACUACUUAUUUGAACUCUGCAACGUUUUUAAAUGUUUACAUUAUUGUGGUACUUUACUAUCUCAUAAAAGUUUCGUGUAUUAUUUACCAAUUUAAAUACAUAUAUGUACCUCUCGAUAAAUAAUCCAUCGCGUUUUGGUCUCAUCGAUUCAACGUCAUUAAUUAGCGAGGAAAAGUUUUCUUCCAAUUCCUGCGUGUCCAUGUUAAGC